This 549-nucleotide ribosomal RNA is filed under the name uncultured archaeon. RNAcentral describes it as "bacterial SSU rRNA". It matches the Rfam family "Archaeal small subunit ribosomal RNA", at positions 326 to 879 of the family's 1478-position model. The record is from RNAcentral.
CGGGGUGCACCAGGCGCGAAAACUUUGCAAUGCGGGAAACCGUGACAAGGGAACUCUGAGUGCCCGUAAAAUCGGGCUGUCCAUCGGUUUAAAUAACCGGUGAAGAAAGGGCCGGGCAAGACCGGUGCCAGCCGCCGCGGUAAUACCGGCGGCUCGAGUGGUGGCCACUAUUACUGGGCUUAAAGCGUUCGUAGCUGGUUUGUUAAGUCUCUGGGGAAAUCUUCCGGCUUAACCGGAAGGCGUCUCAGGGAUACUGGCAGACUAGGGACCGGGAGAGGUGAGAGGUACUCCAGGGGUAGGAGUGAAAUCCUGUAAUCCUUGGGGGACCACCUGUGGCGAAGGCGUCUCACCAGAACGGCUCCGACAGUGAGGGACGAAAGCUGGGGGAGCAAACCGGAUUAGAUACCCGGGUAGUCCCAGCUGUAAACGAUGCGCGUUAGGUGUAUCAGUGACCACGAGUCACUGAGGUGCCGAAGAGAAAUCGUGAAACGUGCCGCCUGGGAAGUACGGUCGCAAGGCUGAAACUUAAAGGAAUUGGCGGGGGAGCAC